CUCGGAUCAGAAUGCUGUUUCCCCAUGCUCUUCCAAGGCUCAUUGAGCACUGACCCCAGCUCUGCUCAUGCCCCACACAGGUCACCCUCUGGGUAGCCCACUGUGUGGAUUCCAUGAAGCAUGCCCUUCUCCCACACAGUCAUCAGCAGUAUCAAUGACCUCCCUCUUCCCAGCUCCAUCAAAGCCAGCCCUGGAAUUAUUAAAGAAAGUCUGACUCCAAGGCAGCCUUUUCUUUCCUCUGCUGAGUGAUUUUCAUUCCUUACAAGAGGAGUUAUCUACAAGCAACAUCGUUCCUGAGGCCAACUGGUCCUCAGUGUCACUUGAGCAUCUGCUGUAUUGUCCUCCUCCUGUGUGGGUCACCGUUGUUGUCUGUCUCUGCAGUCACCAUGGUCUCCUGUCUGAACAGCCCCUCCACCUGGAGCUCUUUGUUUUCCAACUCAGCCACUGUUGACAGCAUAGGCACCUUUGUCUGACACCAUCCAAGCCUUCUUCCACUUGCAGUGUUGUGCUGGUAAAUGUUUAACGACCAGGUCUGGGGGUUUUGAGUUGGAAAUGUGAUGAGCGGCAAGUCCUGAUUUGUAGCAUUUGCCAAUUUACAGGACGUAAACGAUCUUGCCAUGGCCAAUUUCAAACUAAUAAUAGAACGACCAGCUCACAAAAUUCUGGAAAUUCACCAAUCAGUUUGAGCUUGCUCUCUCCAGAACACCAUUGUGUGACACAUCUUGUAACUGAUUUUCUGGAGGUGAACUACCCUUCCAUAACUCUGCCAAGCAAAUAACGGCAAUAUUCUAUGCAGAAGGAUGGGAGAAAUAAGUAAGAAAAAUAUAGGAAGUGCCUGCACCACGGUAUGACAUAGAGAAGGUAUUUCAUCAUACAAGUUGUCCUUCUCAUUCCUCUACAUGUGAAUAUAUCAGCAAUUCCCAC
This is a long non-coding RNA of Heterocephalus glaber (naked mole-rat), 924 nucleotides long. The record is from Ensembl. Lineage: Eukaryota; Metazoa; Chordata; Mammalia; Rodentia; Bathyergidae.